GCCGAAUUGACGAGACGUGAAAAAUUUUAUUGAGCGUGAGUGUAAUUAGUGCUGGCUGAGCUGCUUUUAUAAAAUUCUCUGCUAAUAGUGGUUUAAUUUACAAAUUUAUUAAAAUUGCAUAAGUGUACAGUUAUUCCCAGGGACACUCAUUUAGUUCGUGCAUGUAGCACUUAGACGGAUUGAAUUAGAUUCAUAUAAUACGAGUACAUUUGUGCACGUAUCCCCGUACAUACAUUUGUGUAGUGUACAUAUAGCAACAUACUAAUAUACAAAUGUCUGUGCUUCUCACGUAACUACAUAUUUGCAUAGACUGAACAUUCCAGACGUACUGCUCUCUGCUCCCGAAGGCGAGCGAAUAAAUAAUAACCACAACUACAAACAAGGAACAUCAACGGCAUCCUGCUCGUAUUGCGUGCGGGAGCAACGUCUAUAGGCACAUACCUAACCCACACAUCAGACACAUCCAGGAUGGGUCGGCUAACACAAAUGCUGGCCGUCCUGCUGCUGGUAGCUGUUUUAGGCUCCACAAAUGCAGAGAGUAAAAUAAAUUCACCGCCUCGUAUUAUAAAACAACCCCCAACAGAUGAACUGCUUUUCAAAGUCGCAGUACAAAAUAAGGAAAGUGAUAAACCAUUCAUCAUUGAGUGUGAAGCUGAAGGAAAACCAGACCCAAGUUACCGAUGGAUCAAAAACGGCAAGAAAUUCGAUUGGCAAGCUUACGACAAUCGCAUGCUGCAACAACCCGGUCGCGGUACGCUUGUCAUCACAUCACCCAAGGAUGAAGAUAUGGGUCAGUACCAGUGUUUCGCUGAAAACGAAUUCGGUACAGCCACCUCGAACUCCGUGUUUGUACGCAAAGCCGAAUUGAAUGCAUUUAAGGAUGAAGUGGCGAAAACAAUCGAAACCAAUGAGGGUGAACCCUUCUCGCUUAGUUGCGAAGCACCCGAUGGUUGGCCCAAACCCAUUGUAAACUGGCUGAUACAGCAUUCCUUGGAAGGCACUAUUAAAUCGAUCAACAACUCACGCAUGACACUGGAUCCCGAGGGAACACUUUGGUUCUCGAAUGUGACUCGUGAAGAUGCUUCCGAUGAUUUCUUCUAUGCCUGUUCAGCUACAUCGGUGUUCCGUAAUGAGUACAAAAUUGGCAAUAAAGUCUUAUUGGAUGUGAAACAGACCGGUAUCAGCGCUGCACUGAACAAACAACAACCGAAACGACAAUAUGUGACGCGUAAGAAUGAAGUUGCAUUGCGAGGCAAACGUGUCGAGCUUUAUUGUAUUUUCGGUGGCACACCACUUCCGCAAACGGUCUGGUCUAAAAAUGGUGCGCCCAUAGAAUGGAGUGAUAGAAUCACGCAAGGUCAUUACGGUAAGUCGCUGGUCAUCAGACAGGCGAAUUUCGAGGAUGAAGGUUCCUACACUUGCGACGUUUCAAACGGUGUCGGUAAUGCACAAUCGUAUUCGAUCAAUCUGAAGAUUUUGGCUACACCUUACUUCACCAAAGAACCAGAGGUACAAAACGCGGCCGAAGAUGAAGAAGUCAUAUUCGAAUGCGCAGCUGCUGGUAAUCCCGAGCCCACAAUUCAAUGGAUCCACAAUGGCAAACCGAUUGCACAAUCAGCACCCAAUCCACGUCGUACGGUACAAAGUAAUCGUAUUAUCAUUCGCGAUCUUGUUAAGGCCGAUACUGGUAACUAUGGUUGUAACGCAACCAAUUCGCUUGGCUACGUCUACAAAGAUGUGUACCUGAAUGUGCUGGCACUGCCGCCUGAGAUACAGGAAGCGCCACGUAAGGAAGCCACUGUCGAUGGUAAGAAUGUCACAUUACGUUGCCGUGUGUUUGGUGCACCCAAACCCCAAGUGAAAUGGAUACAUAAUCAUCAAGAAUUGACUGGUGGACGAUACAACACUUUGCCAUCGGGUGACCUGGAGAUCCAAGAAGUUGCGUUUAGUGAUGAGGGCGACUACACGUGUUACGCGACCAAUAAAUUCGGCAGCAUAUCUGCGAAUGGCACAUUGUUGGUAAUGAAGCGCACAAGCAUUAUUCAUGAGCCACAGAAUUACGAAGUAGCUGCUGGCAAAUCGGCGACAUUCCGUUGUAAUGAAGAGCACGAUGAAAAACUUGAUCUUGUAAUUGAGUGGUGGAAGGAUGGUCAAGCUAUUGAUUUCGAAUCGGAAGCACGUUUCAUGAAGACCAACGACAAUUCACUGACCAUACCAAAAACCGUUGAAUUGGAUUCUGGCGAGUACACAUGCGUGGCACGCACCGAAUUGGACGAGGCAUCGGCUAAAGCCAAUCUCAUUGUGCAAGAUGUACCCAAUGCGCCGCGUUUAGUCGGCAUCGUGUGUAUGGCUAAUAGGAUUAGAGUCACUUGGGAACCGCAGGGUGACAAUCGUUCACCGAUUCUAUACUACACCAUCGAAUUCAACACUUCGUUCACACCCGAUUCGUGGGAUAUCUCAUACGAUAAAGUACCAUCCACUGAAACCGCAUUUGUGGUUGAUUUAACGCCUUGGUCCAACUACACGUUCCGAGUAAAAGCCUUCAACAAAAUUGGUCCCUCACCGCCAUCGGAUCACAGUGAGUUUUGUACCACGCCGCCAGAUGUGCCCUACAAGAAUCCAGAUAACGUACAAGGCAUGGGUACCGAACCAAAUAACUUGGUAAUUUCUUGGACUCCAAUGCCGGAGAUUGAUCAUAAUGCGCCAGACUUCCACUACCGUGUCUCUUGGAAACGUGAUAUACCAGCUGCCUCAUGGGAGAGUAAAGAUAUAUAUGAUUGGCAGCAGAACAAUUUGGUAAUACCAGAUCAACCAACCUAUGUACCCUACCUAAUCAAAGUAGUUGCUAUAAAUAAACACGGCGAAGCGAAUGUUGCGCCUACAGAGGUUGUCGGUUAUUCGGGCGAAGAUCGUCCUUUGGAAGCUCCCACCAACUUCAGUAUGGUCCAGGUAACCGCUGCCACCACUGCCAUGUUGCGCUGGAAUCACGUAAGUCCCGAAUCGGUACGUGGUCGCUUCAAGGGUUACAAGAUUCAAACAUGGACCGAGAAGGAGGGUGAGGAAGCGCUACGCGAAAUACAUGUCGAUGCCAUCUCCGAUCAGGCGCUCGUGACACAAUUCAAACCCGAUUCGAAGAACUUUGCACGUGUGCUUGCCUACAAUGGACGUUUCAAUGGCCCACCCAGUGUAGUCAUCGACUUUGAUACGCCCGAAGGUGUACCAUCGCCAGUGCAGUCAUUAGAUGCUUACCCGCUGGGUUCAUCCGCCUUCUGGUUGGUUUGGAAGAAACCAUUGCAACCAAAUGGUAAACUGACCGGCUACAAAAUCUAUUAUGAAGAGGUUAAGGGCAGCUAUGUAAGCGAGCGACGUGAACUCGAUCCGCAUAUUAAUGAUCCACAGAUAACGAGCGCAAAAUUAGCUGGUUUGAAGGCAAACACGAAAUAUAGAAUUUCAAUAACGGCAACCACGAAAAUGGGAGAAGGAUCAGAACACUUCAUUGAGAAACGCACCCUGCCAGAAGACUCACAAAUGCCUGCUGUACCUGGAUUUAUCGUCCAACAAUUAAAAUCCGAGAAUAAUAAUGCAAAAUAUCGCGUCAAUUGGCAGCCGAGUACCGAAGGGCAUGCCGGCACACACUUCUACACACAAUACAGAAUCAAAGGCGAGCCAAACUUCAAAACAGAAAAACCCGAAUUCUCCAAAGAUUACCAAGAAAUCGGUGGUCUCAAUCCAGAUAAUGUGUAUGAAUUCCGUGUUGUAUCUGUCGAUGGUGAUCAUGAAACGCCCAGCGAAUUGCGUGAAAUCGUCAUUGACGGCCCCACCAAAGUGCCCAAUCAGAAUGUGGCGAAUGCAGGCUGGUUCAUUGGCAUGAUGCUGGCGCUGGCCUUCAUCAUACUACUGUUCAUUAUUAUUUGUAUCAUACGACGCAAUCGUGGUGGCAAAUACGAUGUGCAUGAUCGUGAAUUGGCGAACGGACGUCGCGACUAUCCGGAUGAAGGUGGAUUCCAUGAAUACUCACAACCAUUGGAUAAUAAGAGCGCUGGACAGCAAUCGGUUCAUUCGGCGAAACAGCCUGGUGUGGAGAGUGACACCGACUCGAUGGCCGAAUAUGGAGAUGGUGAUACAGCAGCUGUAGUUAGAGGCGUAGCAAAUAAUUUACCAACUCUGCACGAACUACAAGACGAGGUUGCCAACGCAGCCGCAAACAUACUUAAACAUUAGCCACACUCUUAUUACAAUAGAAUAUACAAAUCUAGUAAAUUCUUUUGACAUUAUCUAAAGGCUUAAACGAAGACGGCUCUUUUAUUGGCCAAUAUGGACGUAAAGGACUUUGAUUGCAAUCACUUUAAGUUUAAACCAUUUAUGUAUUCGCAACCGUCGUCUCGACACAACCAUGACAUAAAGAGCGCCAACAACCUUCACGGGCACGACAACAGCAAAAUUAGCUACCAACCAACAACAACAACAAGUUUUGAUUACUGCCAAACAGAACGCAGCUAGUAGCGAAACAUAAAAGAAAUAAAAAUAAGCAAUUUUUUUUUAAAUCAAAACGAUGCAGCUCUGAAUCUCUCUCAUCAAAUUAAGCACGAGAAAUGAAAUAAACCGAAACAGUUAUUUUUUGUAUAAUACUAAAACAAACUAAACUACUGAAUUGCAAACGCGAAACCGUUAUUUAAUUUUAUGGCAAUAAGUAUACAUAUAAAUAUAUAAAUAAAUAUUAAACUCAUCCACACACGCACACACAGCCACAUAAACGCGCUUAAGCGGAUGAUAAUGAAAGCAGCACCGAGUGAAAAAGCGGGGUGCGCCUAUGCGUAGACAUAUUUGCAACUCUCUCUUGUAUUUUUUUUUAACUAUAUAUAGUUUAAAGUAUGUUUUAUAAAAAAUUAAAAUGUAAAAUCUUAUAAUUGCUU
This 4913-nucleotide unclassified non-coding RNA is filed under the name Bactrocera tryoni. RNAcentral's name for it is "neuroglian, transcript variant X1". Lineage: Eukaryota; Metazoa; Arthropoda; Insecta; Diptera; Tephritidae. The record is from RNAcentral.